This 92-nucleotide transfer RNA is filed under the name Tepidimonas taiwanensis. RNAcentral describes it as "tRNA-Ala". Lineage: Bacteria; Pseudomonadati; Pseudomonadota; Betaproteobacteria; Burkholderiales. The record is from RNAcentral.
CCGGCCGUCGGGUGGGCGGCGAAAUCUUGCUGCGCUGGCAGCGCGGCGACGGCACGCUCGUGUCGCCCGCGCAGUUCAUCCCGCUGGCCGAG